CUUUAUCGACAAGUCCGCGGUCACACUGCGCGGACGACCAAUUUAUUGAUUCUCUUUGAUAAAAAAGUGGGUAAAACUGUGCAGCGCGGGGGAGAUCACGUCUUUCGGUCGCAUUGGAACGCAGCCCACACCACCUGCCCCAAGUACUUAAACUACAUUGCCGACACCUGCCCCCUCCCCGCCUACGACCCCACAAUAAUUGACACUGUCCGCCAGGGACGAUACCGAAAAUGGUGGACGCUGCCAGGCAAAUGCUCGAUGAGCUAAUGGGCCGCAAUCGGAACCUGCAUCCUUCGGAGGCAGGACUCAAGGUGAACUGGGAAGAUCCAGAGUUUUGUCAGUUCUACAAUGUAAAGUUCUGCCCGCACGAUCUCUUUAUCAACACACGUGCCGACCUCGGCCCCUGCGCCCGCAUUCACGACGAGGAGGCCAAGCAUCUGUACGAGGAGGCGCGUCCGGCCCGCAAGCGCCAGUACGAGGAUGAGUUCCUGCGCUUCUGCAACGUGAUGCUGCACGAUGUGGACCGCAAGAUUCAGAAGGGCAAGCAGCGUCUGCAGCUAAUGCAGCGCGAUCAGCCGGCGCCAUCGCUGCAGGUGAGCAAGCACCAGGACCAGCUGAACACUCUGAAUGGGCGCAUCAACAAGCUGCUGGCGGAGGCCGAAGAGGCCGGCAUCCGCGGUGACGUUGACCAGGCCAAGGACCUGAUGACGCUCUGCGAUGAGGUCAAGGAGGAGAAGGAGCAGCUGCUGCAGCAGUACGAGGCCAGCCGCAAGGCAAACAGCAAGAUGCUCGCCUCGGACCCGAACAGCGCGGACGAUCCCAUGGCCAGUCCCGGGACAAGCUUCAGCGAUGUUCCAGCGAUCCACAACAGCACCCCUACACCAGCCACAAACCCAGCCGCCAGUGAUUUGGCUGAGGAAGCAGCAGCAGCAGCAGCAGCAGUGACAGGAAAAGCCUCCCCAACCGAAGUGGACGCAGAGGCAACUGGCGGUGGAGCGGCAGCUGGAGCCGAUGCGGAGGACAAGCCAGACAAUACAGACAACAAAUCGCAGUCAAAUUGGUCGCACGAGGCCCUGCCCGAGAAGCAGAUGAAGGUGUGCGAGAUCUGCGGCGCCUUUCUGAUCGUUGGCGAUGCCCAGCAGCGCAUCGAGGACCAUCUGAUGGGCAAGCAGCAUCUGGGCUACUCGAAGGUGCGCAACGCGGUGGCCGAAAUCAACGAUGAGCGGCAGAAGGAGCGCGAUCAGGAGCGUGAGCAGGAACGCGAGCAGGAGGAGCGCAGGCGCCGCGAGGGUCGGGGCCAGCGCUUCAACUCCUACGACAAUAGACGCGAGCCGCGCGAGUAUCGGGAGCGCAGUCGCGAGUAUGCCCCGAACCGUCAGACCUCAGACAGGCGCCACCAUCACCACAAGUCGCACCACGGCCACUCGUACUCGCGCAGCGGCAGCAACAGCAACAGCAGCAACCGUAGCAGGCACCACAAUCACAGCCACUAUCGGCAGGAUAGCCGCGAGCGGCAUGGCCGCAGUCGCAGCCGCAGUCGCUACUAGAGACCAAAACAGAAGCAGAAACAGAAGCAAAAGCAGAACAAAACAAAGAAGAAGCUGCAGCAGAAGCAGAAGCACACCAAAAUCCGAGAACUCAGCCGUCACUGCGCGGUCCUUUGUAGCUAAACCCCCGCCCCCCGAAUGUACCCAAUGCAUCCAACGCGCAUCCACAACCAGCACGCCCGAGUCCACGUCCCAUCGCUGCUGCUGCGGCGAGCACACGAAACACACAAACCGCAAACCGAAACCGAAAGAGAAAGAGAAAGAGAAGAAGCAAACACCACCAUCGAGGUACCCCAAAACAAUAAUUAACAAAAAUUUCAAGUAAUAUGUAUCAGAACAGUAAACAAAAAAAAAAAAAGAAAAAAAAGAACAGAGCAGAAACAGAAUCAGAAGAGAGUGAGAAUGAGCUGAGAGCGUGAGCUGGCAGGCGAGAUCAGAGAUCCUUGCCAGAGCAUGGAUCCACCAAUGAGGAGGGACAUUCGGAAUGCUCUAGAACUGGAACUGGCUUUGGAAUGGAUCUGUGGUCAAGAGAGGCAAAAAAAGAUAGAGAGAGAAAAAGAGAAAGAGAGAGGAAGAGAGAGAGAGAGAGAUGUAUAGAUAGAAAGAAGAGCCAACCAGGUAACUUCUAUGCCACACCUCCCCCCCACACAUAAAUGUUUCUUCACGACAGACAAGGCCGCGGCAUCGCUCCAUCCAUGAACCUCAACCACGAACCACGCACGCACUCUGCUGCCAUCCACGAUCCACGAUCAACAAACUGUCCACCAAGCCAUCUCUGAUCCCGGAAGAGAGCGAGAGACACAUCGCAUAGAACAGUUAUUAGAGACAAACGAGGUGAAUUUCUAUUUCUCUCAUCACUAAAUAUACAUAUAUAUAUAGCCCUCGACCCUGACCUCCCCCACCACGCAUCUUCCACGCUGUCUCCCCAGUCUAUGCCCAACGACUGGCCUUCACAGGCGGCACCAGACCAGAUCUUCUAUGGAGCAAGUCCAUAGGCUAAAAGCCCUUUCCCUUUCUGAUCUCUGGUGCGCUUGUGAAUGCUUGAGCGAGGGAGCGCCUUUCUCCAAACCCAACUGCAACUAUUCAACUUUCCCUUUCAAUUCAAUUGAGUCCCCACCCAGCCCAUCAGUUCGUGGCAAAGCGCAUCCCCAUAUUCCCAUUCUGUCCCCAAAAAGGAAUGAUCAAGUUUGAGGACACUUAUGUAGAGCCUAACGAAUCAAUAAUUAUUUAUCUAACCAUCGAUCGAUCGAACGCCCUGUAGUCAUGUAAAGAUGUUUUUAAGUAUGAUUUACGUACGCUAUGAGUAAGGAUACAACAUUCUAAAUAGUGAGACUCGCAAUAAUUUUCUAAAUAAAGAUCAAAACGAAUCCCCAAAAACAA
This is an RNA transcript of Drosophila subobscura, 2927 nucleotides long. It is a transcript of the gene named luc7-like protein 3, with no coding region annotated. The transcript has 5 exons. NCBI's taxonomy places the organism in Eukaryota, Metazoa, Arthropoda, Insecta, Diptera, Drosophilidae. The record is from RefSeq and is a predicted model, not a curated record.